RNAcentral lists this ribosomal RNA (253 nucleotides) under uncultured bacterium. RNAcentral's name for it is "partial 16S ribosomal RNA". It matches the Rfam family "Bacterial small subunit ribosomal RNA", at positions 524 to 776 of the family's 1533-position model. The record is from RNAcentral.
UACGUAGGGUGCAAGCGUUGUCCGGAAUUAUUGGGCGUAAAGAGCUCGUAGGCGGUCUGUCGCGUCUGCUGUGAAAACUCGGGGCUUAACCCCGGGCCUGCAGUGGGUACGGGCAGACUAGAGUGCGGUAGGGGAGACUGGAAUUCCUGGUGUAGCGGUGAAAUGCGCAGAUAUCAGGAGGAACACCGGUGGCGAAGGCGGGACUCUGGACAGUUCCUGACGCUGAGGCACGAAGGCCAGGGGAGCAAACGGG